RNAcentral lists this ribosomal RNA (254 nucleotides) under uncultured bacterium. Its description in RNAcentral is "partial 16S ribosomal RNA". It matches the Rfam family "Bacterial small subunit ribosomal RNA", at positions 524 to 776 of the family's 1533-position model. The record is from RNAcentral.
UACGUGGGGUGCGAGCGUUGUCCGGAAUUAUUGGGCGUAAAGGGCUCGUAGGCGGUUUGUCGCGUCGGGAGUGAAAACACGGGGCUUAACCCCGUGCCUGCUUCCGAUACGGGCAGACUAGAGGUAUGCAGGGGAGAACGGAAUUCCUGGUGUAGCGGUGAAAUGCGCAGAUAUCAGGAGGAACACCGGUGGCGAAGGCGGUUCUCUGGGCCUGUACUGACGCUGAGGAGCGAAAGCGUGGGGGAGCGAACAGG